AGAGAGAGAGAUUGUUUAGCAGAGCAGAGGAAGUGAUGGGGCUGGUCUCACUGCCUUCGUAAACAGGUCUCUUCUAAUCUUCCAUUCAUGGUCUCUUGAAUUUAUCUUUGAUCCCUUGAUGGUGUACGAGUGGUCACAGUAAUUUAUCUUUCAUGAUCACUGGAAUUUACCUAUUAAUCUGCAACAACAAUCAUUUUUGAAGAAGGGAGGCUAAGAAACGAUGUUUUUAUCACCCACCGAUCAUGAAAUUUUUGCUACAUUUCCUGUUUCAAUUGAGUUAAUUAAGCUUUGUCAAGUAGUAUUUGUUUACCUCUGUACGAGUGGUUGCGAGCUUGGCGACGUGAUCCUUCGGUAGGACCGAUCGAACCUGCUCUAUGCUCGCGCGUGUUGUUAUAGAUUGGAAUGAUUUUGAAAGACUCUUUCAUUCUCGUGCUUCUGCUCACACACGCGCAGUAUGUGAUUUGGGUUGUGAGCACUGGGUUUUGCUGUAGAUUGCAAAAGAUUGCUUUUCAACCUGUACUUCCAGUUUUCCUUUCGUUGAGCACAAAAUAUUGACAUAUAGAAGCUCCAAUACCAUUUGAGCACAAAAUAUUGACAUAUAGAAGCUCCAAUACCAUAUAUCGCUAGUUCUUAAUUGUGUUUAAUUGGGUCAUAUUAUUAUCUUUUUGAUCAUUCCCUUUAAGUUGUCGAAUUUGCAGGAAAAGAUGAUAAUUUUACAUGUCUCAGCCGAUGGAAUAAAAAGUGCAAAGUUGACCCGGAAUUUAAAUUUUCGUCAAAGUUUGAAGGUCCAAUUGAUGGAAUUUUUUUAAAUGACGGUCUAACAUAAAUCAAAAUAGAGAGAGUAUAAAGGGAGCCUAUGUUGUGGACCUAUUUUAUUUGGGUCAGAAUGCAUUUGUUGCCCAUGAAUGAUUUCUAUCUCACCUCAAAAGCUAAGUGUUUCGCUUAAAUCUCUUGUAUUUAUGUUUGUCCAUCCUUGUUUUAGCACGCGGACGUGCAUUUCUGUGUCUCAAGUUUUAGGUUUGAUCAUCACUGUCACAUAUGAUGAUUCUUCCAUCUUAAACACUGUCACAUAUGAUGAUUCUUCCAUCUUAAACACAAUGUUUUACACCGUCGCAAAAUUAAGUCUUUGAAGGAUCUAGUUUUCUCUGAUGGCUACUGAAGAGCCUAAAGAUCCAUUUAAAGCAAUGGACCGGAAAAAUAUGGGUAGUUCUGAUGUGCAGAAUGAGCCCAGCACUGGCCUAGUGAUAAAGAAACGAUUGCCACAAAAGAUUAGGCAAAUUCCAAAGUGCUAUUUUCUUCCUCGGAGAUCGAUACCCUCUGCCAUUGCCAUUUACGGGGCAUGGAUUGCUGGUGGAAUUGGUGCUGGGAUGCUGUUGGAGGUCUAGAUAAAGAAGGUCAAAGAGGAUGGUGGUGUCAUCUGGGAGUUUGACAAGUAAAGGUUCGAUGGUAUGUUUCCUAAUCCCUGGCUUACAAUUUAGAGGACAACCUAAUACUGGACUCAAUUCCAAAGUUUUCUUCUCUGAUUAGCUUCGGAUUGUUUGCUGCAAUGGGGGAAACUCAAUUUGGAGUACUUUGAAUUGUUCUACAUGCUUGAAUUCUUUCAUGUUUUCAAGGGAAAAUGUUAAUAUAUGUUUGGAUCUUGUUUUAACA
This is a long non-coding RNA of Rhododendron vialii, 1650 nucleotides long. RefSeq lists it as uncharacterized. The record is from RefSeq and is a predicted model, not a curated record. The transcript is spliced from 2 exons. NCBI's taxonomy places the organism in Eukaryota, Viridiplantae, Streptophyta, Magnoliopsida, Ericales, Ericaceae.